CAGUCGCCGCGGUAAUACAGAGGGUGCGAGCGUUAAUCGGAUUUACUGGGCGUAAAGCGUGCGUAGGCGGCUUCUUAAGUCGGAUGUGAAAUCCCUGAGCUUAACUUAGGAAUUGCAUUCGAUACUGGGAAGCUAGAGUAUGGGAGAGGAUGGUAGAAUUCCAGGUGUAGCGGUGAAAUGCGUAGAGAUCUGGAGGAAUACCGAUGGCGAAGGCAGCCAUCUGGCCUAAUACUGACGCUGAGGUACGAAAGCGUGGGGAGCAAACAGGAUUAGAGACCCGAGUAGUCCCUGUCUCUUAUAC
Molecule: ribosomal RNA, 301 nt
Filed under: uncultured bacterium
Lineage: Bacteria
Description: partial 16S ribosomal RNA
Rfam family: Bacterial small subunit ribosomal RNA
Source: RNAcentral